RNAcentral lists this small RNA (523 nucleotides) under Cryptococcus neoformans H99. Its description in RNAcentral is "Cryptococcus neoformans var. grubii H99 hypothetical RNA". The record is from RNAcentral. Lineage: Eukaryota; Fungi; Basidiomycota; Tremellomycetes; Tremellales; Cryptococcaceae.
UGUAGCUUGCCGAAGUAUAUCACACUGUAUUAGCCCUCAAGCCACAGUCCGGCAGAUAGAUCCUAAUUACAGCCACGGCUGGUAUUGUCCCCUUUACUUCCUCCCCCAACUCAACCUAUACUUGCCCGACGAAAAAUCUAGUUCAACAUCCACUACUUCUAUCAUCGUAUCGUCUUGAAUCUGACACCGCACACCAUAAUUUUUUUCAAACAGAUGAUGUUUUGUGGGCUGAGUUUUCUGUCUUCCGUUCCUGCCUUGAAGCUACCUCUUUUUGUUGGGUAUGGGCGUGCGGAGGGAACCCAGCAGAUAGAACAUCAUAGUGCAUCUGGAACAAUGGCCAUAAUGGUGGUCUUUCAUGUCUUCCCAGCUGGCAGCACGGCAUGCGCGAUGUUUAUGAAUGAACAAUCCUUAAUUGAUCGACCACAUAGGGGGCCUCUCUCUUCUAUUAACGCACUACUAUUGUACUCCUUGUAUCUUCUCAUUCGAGCAUAGGACCCUUGGAUUACUUCAGCAGACCCCUCGA